This 307-nucleotide ribosomal RNA is filed under the name uncultured bacterium. RNAcentral's name for it is "bacterial SSU rRNA". It matches the Rfam family "Bacterial small subunit ribosomal RNA", at positions 9 to 293 of the family's 1533-position model. The record is from RNAcentral.
GAGUUUGAUCUUGGCUCAGGACGAACGCUGGCGGCGUGCCUAACACAUGCAAGUCGAACGGAGAUAAACGCUGAUGAUUUAGCUUGCUAUUGAUUCUUGUUUAUCUUAGUGGCGGACGGGUGAGUAACGCGUGAGCAACCUGCCUUUCAGAGGGGGAUAACGUCUUGAAAAGGACGCUAAUACCGCAUGAGAUCGUAGUUCCACAUGGGACAGCGACCAAAGGAGCAAUCCGCUGAAAGAUGGGCUCGCGUCCGAUUAGAUAGUUGGCGGGUAACGGCCCACCAAGUCGACGAUCGGUAGCCGGACU